GGUUAAGCGACUAAGCGUACACGGUGGAUGCCCUGGCAGUCAGAGGCGAUGAAGGACGUGCUAAUCUGCGAUAAGCGUCGGUAAGGUGAUAUGAACCGUUAUAACCGGCGAUUUCCGAAUGGGGAAACCCAGUGUGAUUCGUCACACUAUCAUUAACUGAAUCCAUAGGUUAAUGAGGCGAACCGGGGGAACUGAAACAUCUAAGUACCCCGAGGAAAAGAAAUCAACCGAGAUUCCCCCAGUAGCGGCGAGCGAACGGGGAGGAGCCCAGAGCCUGAAUCAGUGUGUGUGUUAGUGGAAGCGUCUGGAAAGGCGCGCGAUACAGGGUGACAGCCCCGUACACAAAAAUGCACAUGCUGUGAGCUCGAUGAGUAGGGCGGGACACGUGGUAUCCUGUCUGAAUAUGGGGGGACCAUCCUCCAAGGCUAAAUACUCCUGACUGACCGAUAGUGAACCAGUACCGUGAGGGAAAGGCGAAAAGAACCCCGGCGAGGGGAGUGAAAAAGAACCUGAAACCGUGUACGUACAAGCAGUGGGAGCACGCUUAGGCGUGUGACUGCGUACCUUUUGUAUAAUGGGUCAGCGACUUAUAUUCUGUAGCAAGGUUAACCGAAUAGGGGAGCCGAAGGGAAACCGAGUCUUAACUGGGCGUUAAGUUGCAGGGUAUAGACCCGAAACCCGGUGAUCUAGCCAUGGGCAGGUUGAAGGUUGGGUAACACUAACUGGAGGACCGAACCGACUAAUGUUGAAAAAUUAGCGGAUGACUUGUGGCUGGGGGUGAAAGGCCAAUCAAACCGGGAGAUAGCUGGUUCUCCCCGAAAGCUAUUUAGGUAGCGCCUCGUGAAUUCAUCUCCGGGGGUAGAGCACUGUUUCGGCAAGGGGGUCAUCCCGACUUACCAACCCGAUGCAAACUGCGAAUACCGGAGAAUGUUAUCACGGGAGACACACGGCGGGUGCUAACGUCCGUCGUGAAGAGGGAAACAACCCAGACCGCCAGCUAAGGUCCCAAAGUCAUGGUUAAGUGGGAAACGAUGUGGGAAGGCCCAGACAGCCAGGAUGUUGGCUUAGAAGCAGCCAUCAUUUAAAGAAAGCGUAAUAGCUCACUGGUCGAGUCGGCCUGCGCGGAAGAUGUAACGGGGCUAAACCAUGCACCGAAGCUGCGGCAGCGACACUGUGUGUUGUUGGGUAGGGGAGCGUUCUGUAAGCCUGCGAAGGUGUGCUGUGAGGCAUGCUGGAGGUAUCAGAAGUGCGAAUGCUGACAUAAGUAACGAUAAAGCGGGUGAAAAGCCCGCUCGCCGGAAGACCAAGGGUUCCUGUCCAACGUUAAUCGGGGCAGGGUGAGUCGACCCCUAAGGCGAGGCCGAAAGGCGUAGUCGAUGGGAAACAGGUUAAUAUUCCUGUACUUGGUGUUACUGCGAAGGGGGGACGGAGAAGGCUAUGUUGGCCGGGCGACGGUUGUCCCGGUUUAAGCGUGUAGGCUGGUUUUCCAGGCAAAUCCGGAAAAUCAAGGCUGAGGCGUGAUGACGAGGCACUACGGUGCUGAAGCAACAAAUGCCCUGCUUCCAGGAAAAGCCUCUAAGCAUCAGGUAACAUCAAAUCGUACCCCAAACCGACACAGGUGGUCAGGUAGAGAAUACCAAGGCGCUUGAGAGAACUCGGGUGAAGGAACUAGGCAAAAUGGUGCCGUAACUUCGGGAGAAGGCACGCUGAUACGUAGGUGAAGUCCCUCGCGGAUGGAGCUGAAAUCAGUCGAAGAUACCAGCUGGCUGCAACUGUUUAUUAAAAACACAGCACUGUGCAAACACGAAAGUGGACGUAUACGGUGUGACGCCUGCCCGGUGCCGGAAGGUUAAUUGAUGGGGUCAGCGCAAGCGAAGCUCUUGAUCGAAGCCCCGGUAAACGGCGGCCGUAACUAUAACGGUCCUAAGGUAGCGAAAUUCCUUGUCGGGUAAGUUCCGACCUGCACGAAUGGCGUAAUGAUGGCCAGGCUGUCUCCACCCGAGACUCAGUGAAAUUGAACUCGCUGUGAAGAUGCAGUGUACCCGCGGCAAGACGGAAAGACCCCGUGAACCUUUACUAUAGCUUGACACUGAACAUUGAGCCUUGAUGUGUAGGAUAGGUGGGAGGCUUUGAAGUGUGGACGCCAGUCUGCAUGGAGCCGACCUUGAAAUACCACCCUUUAAUGUUUGAUGUUCUAACGUUGACCCGUAAUCCGGGUUGCGGACAGUGUCUGGUGGGUAGUUUGACUGGGGCGGUCUCCUCCUAAAGAGUAACGGAGGAGCACGAAGGUUGGCUAAUCCUGGUCGGACAUCAGGAGGUUAGUGCAAUGGCAUAAGCCAGCUUGACUGCGAGCGUGACGGCGCGAGCAGGUGCGAAAGCAGGUCAUAGUGAUCCGGUGGUUCUGAAUGGAAGGGCCAUCGCUCAACGGAUAAAAGGUACUCCGGGGAUAACAGGCUGAUACCGCCCAAGAGUUCAUAUCGACGGCGGUGUUUGGCACCUCGAUGUCGGCUCAUCACAUCCUGGGGCUGAAGUAGGUCCCAAGGGUAUGGCUGUUCGCCAUUUAAAGUGGUACGCGAGCUGGGUUUAGAACGUCGUGAGACAGUUCGGUCCCUAUCUGCCGUGGGCGCUGGAGAAUUGAGGGGGGCUGCUCCUAGUACGAGAGGACCGGAGUGGACGCAUCACUGGUGUUCGGGUUGUCAUGCCAAUGGCACUGCCCGGUAGCUAAAUGCGGAAGAGAUAAGUGCUGAAAGCAUCUAAGCACGAAACUUGCCCCGAGAUGAGUUCUCCCUGACUCCUUGAGAGUCCUGAAGGAACGUUGAAGACGACGACGUUGAUAGGCCGGGUGUGUAAGCGCAGCGAUGCGUUGAGCUAACCGGUACUAAUGAACCGUGAGGCUUAACCUU
This 2903-nucleotide ribosomal RNA is filed under the name Escherichia coli. RNAcentral's name for it is "23S ribosomal RNA". It matches the Rfam family "Bacterial large subunit ribosomal RNA". Lineage: Bacteria; Pseudomonadati; Pseudomonadota; Gammaproteobacteria; Enterobacterales; Enterobacteriaceae. The record is from RNAcentral.